RNAcentral lists this ribosomal RNA (449 nucleotides) under uncultured bacterium. RNAcentral's name for it is "partial 16S ribosomal RNA". It matches the Rfam family "Bacterial small subunit ribosomal RNA", at positions 29 to 523 of the family's 1533-position model. The record is from RNAcentral.
AGCGAACGCUGGCGGCAGGCUUAACACAUGCAAGUCGAGCGGGCCCUUCGGGGUCAGCGGCAGACGGGUGAGUAACGCGUGGGAACGUGCCCUUCGGUUCGGAAUAACCCUGGGAAACUAGGGCUAAUACCGGAUACGCCCUUAUGGGGAAAGGUUUACCGCCGAAGGAUCGGCCCGCGUCUGAUUAGCUUGUUGGUGAGGUAACGGCUCACCAAGGCGACGAACAGUAGCUGGUCUGAGAGGAUGAUCAGCCACACCGGAACUGAGACACGGCCCAGACUCCUACGGGAGGCAGCAGUGGGGAAUAUUGGACAAUGGGGGCAACCCUGAUCCAGCCAUGCCGCGUGAGUGAUGACGGCCUUAGGGUUGUAAAGCACUUUUACCCGGGACGAUAAUGACGGUACCGGGUGAAUAAGCCCCGGCUAACUUCGUGCCAGCCGCCGCGGUAA